Molecule: long non-coding RNA, 1418 nt
Filed under: Gallus gallus (chicken)
Lineage: Eukaryota; Metazoa; Chordata; Aves; Galliformes; Phasianidae
Description: long non-coding RNA NONGGAT003705
Source: RNAcentral
AUCAGUACAAUUACUUUUCUUGGCAGAUGGAAAGCACGGUUUUGGCAACUAUACAUAUUUCAACCUUUAACCAACCCCACGCCUUACACACAUCUUUGUCUACCAAAAUCCCUGCACUUCAGCAGUCAGCACCUCUGGCAUCUUACCAAAUUCAAUAUUAUAUGUUUUUCAAACUUGCCAAUGUAUUUCCCAUCCAUUUGCCUUUUUUGGUUUCUCUGUGUUUACCUUUAGAGAAAAACAUUAACAAAGGUAAGCAAGAAGACUCUUUACCAUUGGCUUCAUCAAAGAUAGAUGGGAGCCUACUCUCUGUUUCUGCUUUGUUUUGUUCUGUUUACAUUCUUUUUUAUUUCUCUGCAGCAUUCCUGAGCAAUAGGGAGCACCAGGAGUAUUCUACCUGCACCUUAUUCUGUUUUUCUACUACAAAGAAGAAUCCUCCUUAAGACAGAAUCCUCCUUAAUGCAAUGUGGCUAUAAGUAGAUCGUUCCAUCCAGGGACUCUAUGCCCCAGCACUCCUGUUUCUACAGGCAGAAAAUUAGUCUUCCUUUGUUUGGCAUGUGGGGAGCCUGAGGGUGCCCCUUGAGCCAUAGGCACUGUUUAUGUAGCAAUUCAGCAGCAAGAGCAAUGACUUUUCUAAUAGCAGAAAGAUUAGGCUCUGGGGGUAUGCAUCUCUGUCUGCAUAAAGUGCACAUUGUGGAGAAAAUUCUUCUUUCCCAGUCUACAUUUUGAACAUCUUCCACAAUGAGGUUUUCCCCUGCACAUGUUUAAGACAUUCAUUGCUGAGAGAAAAUGAUGGCGCUAGAGAGGAAGGCGUUUCAAGUGGAGUUGCAGCCUUAAGCAGAAUGAUCUGUUAUUUUUUAUUUUUAUUUUAUUUUUUGCUUAUUUAUCCAUUCAUUAUUACUAAUUUCAGCCAACAGAAGGAAACUGGGUUGGGUUCUGGGGAAGGAAGGACUUGCAUGAGUGCCCUGGGGCUGCAGAGAUCUGAGUCGACUGUUUAUAUAAACAUUAACUUUUUUUUUUUUUAAGACACGAAGUCCUAACCUUAAAUUGCCAGUUGGUCUGCAAUACAGAGACAGCCCGGAGAAUUAACACCCAGUCCUGGAACAAGGCCUGAGGAUGAAAGUAAUGACAACGUGGGAUUCUAAAUAUACCCGAGCAGCUCACAGGUUCUUUGAUUGUGCUGGAGGCUGUGUGAAAUCUGCAGGCAACAGCAUGCCUGCUUGCAGUUUUGCUUCAGGUGAGAAGCUGUUUAGUGCCUUAAGACAAAGUCAGAGACAUGAAGUCCCAAAGGCUAAUUCACUGGAGGAAAUGCUGGCAGUGUUUGCCUGAAACACACCCCUUAGCAGGCAAUGUCCCUGCUGGAAAACAGUGAGCGUGGUUCAAUGGUGGAUCUCCAUUACAAUGAAUUAGGCACCCACAAA